AACGCGAAGAACCUUACCUGGUCUUGACAUCCACGGAAUUCGGCAGAGAUGCCUUAGUGCCUUCGGGAACCGUGAGACAGGUGCUGCAUGGCUGUCGUCAGCUCGUGUUGUGAAAUGUUGGGUUAAGUCCCGCAACGAGCGCAACCCUUAUCCUUUGUUGCCAGCGGCUCGGCCGGGAACUCAAAGGAGACUGCCGGUGAUAAACCGGAGGAAGGUGGGGAUGACGUCAAGUCAUCAUGGCCCUUACGACCAGGGCUACACACGUGCUACAAUGGCGCAUACAAAGAGAAGCGACCUCGCGAGAGCAAGCGGACCUCAUAAAGUGCGUCGAUCCGGAUUGGAGUCUGCAACUCGACUCCAUGAAGUCGGAAUCGCUAGUAAUUCGUGGAUCAGAAU
This 396-nucleotide ribosomal RNA is filed under the name Pantoea sp. UR48. RNAcentral describes it as "bacterial SSU rRNA". It matches the Rfam family "Bacterial small subunit ribosomal RNA", at positions 958 to 1355 of the family's 1533-position model. Lineage: Bacteria; Pseudomonadati; Pseudomonadota; Gammaproteobacteria; Enterobacterales; Erwiniaceae. The record is from RNAcentral.